AUGAGUAUAGCUCAGUGGUAGAGCAUAUGCUUAGUGUGCUCAGGGUCCUGGGUUCAAUCCCCAGCACCUCUG
Molecule: transfer RNA, 72 nt
Filed under: Camelus bactrianus (Bactrian camel)
Lineage: Eukaryota; Metazoa; Chordata; Mammalia; Artiodactyla; Camelidae
Also listed under: 2 other names
Rfam family: tRNA
About the family: Transfer RNA (tRNA) molecules are approximately 80 nucleotides in length.
Source: Rfam by way of RNAcentral